UUUAUGGAGAGUUUGAUCCUGGCUCAGGAUGAACGCUGGCGGCGUGCCUAAUACAUGCAAGUCGAGCGAACGGACGAGAAGCUUGCUUCUCUGAUGUUAGCGGCGGACGGGUGAGUAACACGUGGAUAACCUACCUAUAAGACUGGGAUAACUUCGGGAAACCGGAGCUAAUACCGGAUAAUAUUUUGAACCGCAUGGUUCAAAAGUGAAAGACGGUCUUGCUGUCACUUAUAGAUGGAUCCGCGCUGCAUUAGCUAGUUGGUAAGGUAACGGCUUACCAAGGCAACGAUGCAUAGCCGACCUGAGAGGGUGAUCGGCCACACUGGAACUGAGACACGGUCCAGACUCCUACGGGAGGCAGCAGUAGGGAAUCUUCCGCAAUGGGCGAAAGCCUGACGGAGCAACGCCGCGUGAGUGAUGAAGGUCUUCGGAUCGUAAAACUCUGUUAUUAGGGAAGAACAUAUGUGUAAGUAACUGUGCACAUCUUGACGGUACCUAAUCAGAAAGCCACGGCUAACUACGUGCCAGCAGCCGCGGUAAUACGUAGGUGGCAAGCGUUAUCCGGAAUUAUUGGGCGUAAAGCGCGCGUAGGCGGUUUUUUAAGUCUGAUGUGAAAGCCCACGGCUCAACCGUGGAGGGUCAUUGGAAACUGGAAAACUUGAGUGCAGAAGAGGAAAGUGGAAUUCCAUGUGUAGCGGUGAAAUGCGCAGAGAUAUGGAGGAACACCAGUGGCGAAGGCGACUUUCUGGUCUGUAACUGACGCUGAUGUGCGAAAGCGUGGGGAUCAAACAGGAU
Molecule: ribosomal RNA, 795 nt
Filed under: Staphylococcus aureus
Lineage: Bacteria; Bacillati; Bacillota; Bacilli; Caryophanales; Staphylococcaceae
Description: bacterial SSU rRNA
Rfam family: Bacterial small subunit ribosomal RNA
Source: RNAcentral